AGGAUCACAGGUGUGUGCUUCACUCCACGGAGAACUCCACGGGGGGUAGUAAACAUCCCCAUUCUGUUUACUACCAUGGAAGGCAUAGCCUGAAUAGAGGAAGGAAAAGCAUGUGGAAGCUGGAUAGAGUGAAAGAACUUGUGCUUUGGGGCGAGAGAGUCUGUGUCCCAUCCUGGAUCAUUCCCUGACCACAUGGCCUUAGGUGUCCAUGUGUUUGGGGCAAAAAUGAGCCACUGCUAACAAUUGUAAAGAAAGAGAGAACAGCUGUUUGCAUCUGGAUAUGGGGUAAGAAAGAACAGCUGCUGGCAGCGGUGGCAGACAAGAAAGUGAGCAAAUGAGCAGCUGUUGGUAAUUCAGAAUCUCAUCAGCCACACAGAAUAAUUGAAAUCCAGAACCAUGCAGGGCUCGACUUAACAGCUUUAUUGCAUCCUGCUGUUCAUUAGAUCCUGCCUGUCCUCCAUUAGAGAUUCCUGUGAUAGCUACAUGAGGACUCUCAACAGGAAUAUCCACCCCGACAUCCCCAUCCACAACCCUUUGAAGAAGCAACCCAAGAGAGGUAAAAAGGCACAGACUUUUCUUCCAGUAAGUCCAUACCUAUUUUUACACAAAGGAAGACAAGGGAAGGGAUAUUAACACACAUGGGAAUGAUCACAAGAUUGGCCAAAAAUAAUUAUUUCUGUAUUAUAAGAAAUUAUAGCCAUUUUAAUGAUGAACUCACAUUU
This 722-nucleotide long non-coding RNA is filed under the name Homo sapiens (human). Its description in RNAcentral is "HSALNT0369117". Lineage: Eukaryota; Metazoa; Chordata; Mammalia; Primates; Hominidae. The record is from RNAcentral.